UACGGCCCCAUGGAGGUCUGGGUACUUAUCGCUGCUAUUAUAUAGAGGUAUGCGGCCCCGGCCGACAUCGUACCACUUUUCAAUUUGUGGUGUCCGGGUGCGUUUUGUGCGAUUCACGCACUGCGGCGACGUCGGGAAUUGCGCCGACGAGUACGCGACCGCUCGCAGAGACAAAGUCCGAAAGCUCGUCAGCCGGGGCGGCGCGCGCAAGCGACGUUCAGCGCAACUUUUCCGUGGAAAUACCGAAAGCGGCUCGCACGUUUGCCUUGUAUCGGUGAGCUGGGGCACCGUGGUGCACGCGAGAGGCAGAAACACGGCUUGAAAAGCAAAAAUGAGGAAUUUCUUUCGGCGCUAACUGCCGCCGGCGGCCACGAGUACGGCCCCAUGGAGGUCUGGGUACUUAUCGCUGCUAUUAUAUAGAGGUAUGCGGCCCCGGCCGACAUCGUACCACUUUUCAAUUUGUGGUGUCCGGGUGCGUUUUGUGCGAUUCACGCACUGCGGCGACGUCGGGAAUUGCGCCGACGAGUACGCGACCGCUCGCAGAGACAAAGUCCGAAAGCUCGUCAGCCGGGGCGGCGCGCGCAAGCGACGUUCAGCGCAACUUUUCCGUGGAAAUACCGAAAGCGGCUCGCACGUUUGCCUUGUAUCGGUGAGCUGGGGCACCGUGGUGCACGCGAGAGGUGGAAACACGGCUUGAAAAGCAAAAAUGAGGAAUUUCUUUCGGCGCUAACUGCCGCCGGCGGCCACGAGUACGGCCCCAUGGAGGUCUGGGUACUUAUCGCUGCUAUUAUAUAGAGGUAUGCAACCCCGGCCGACAUCGUACCACUUUUCAAUUUGUGGUGUCCGGGUGCGUUUUGUGCGAUUCACGCACUGCGGCGACGUCGGGAAUUGCGCCGACGAGUACGCGACCGCUCGCAGAGACAAAGUCCGAAACCGCGUCAGCCGGGGCGGCGCGCGCAAGCGACGUUCAGCGCAACUUUUCCGUGGAAAUACCGAAAGCGGCUCGCACGUUUGCCUUGUAAUCGGUGAGCUGGGGCACCGUGGUGCACGCGAGAGGUGGAAAUACGCCGACGAGUACGCAAGCCACCGUCCAAAACAACGGUCAUGGAGCACAGCACCGUGCGUGGCACAACGUUUGCAGAGAAAGUGCGGCAGCGGAAAGCUCGUUCGCCGUGAAAGUCAGCACAGGAUGCGCGGUGGUUCAGGCACGUGAAUAUUCGCGAAGCCGUACUCGCCGCUGGCGAAACAUUGACGAUCACGACCCUCUUGCGCGGUGUUGGUUUUCACGACUUCGGCCCUGUGCAGCCGACGUAAACUUUCAAAGUUCGUCAAGGUGCGGCACGAUUUCCGCCAAAUCCCCGUCGAAAAUGCCACGAGUACGGCCCCAUGGAGGUCUGGGUACUUAUCGCUGCUAUUAUAUGGGGGUUGGAGUGCAGUCGCCCCCCGAGUGCGUGCGACCUGGGUGUCUGAUAUGCGGCGGGCUCCGUGCCCGUCAAGCGUGUCCCCGGAGCCUCUCCCGUGGAUCCCUCGGCAAUCGUCUGCAGCCUCAUCCGCUUGAUGCGUUAGGGGCUGGUUGUCGGACGACGCCGUAUCCACGAUAUCGAGGUGUGUUCCGCAUCGUCCUCGGACGAGUCAAAUAAGAAAGCGCCGAAGGCGCGGGCGUGACCCGUCGCUUGGCGGCUUUGCCGUCUCGGCUACGUUGCAAGCGCCGAUCGGUCCACCAGUGCUGCGGGCUGAUGGCAAAUCCCGCAAGCCGUGACCGAGUCGACGCAACGAAUCUAUCGAGAGUGUGCGUGCUUCUUGCCGCGUGGCGAUACCCAGCCCUGCGGGGAGGGCGCCGUAGCGAGCUCGAACGCCGUCAUCUCGGACUGUGCAAAGAGGUGGGCUUUGCAAAAACGAAGCGUGCUGAGGCGCCUGAAGGUGGCCUCGGCGUCGCAACAACGGCGUCCGGCAUGGCUGGACGCGCAGUUGAACGAUUACCUGGUUGAUCCUGCCAGUAAUCAUAUGCUUGUCUCAAAGAUUAAGCCAUGCAUGUCUAAGUACAUGCCGAAAUAAGGCGAAACCGCGAAUGGCUCAUUAAAUCAGUUAUGGUUCCUUAGAUCGUUUCUUCCUACUUGGAUAACUGUGGCAAUUCUAGAGCUAAUACAUGCAGUGAGCCUGAAGCCCUUUGGGCGACGGGUGCUUUUAUUAGACCAAGAUCGAUCGGGUUUCGGCCCGUAUUGUGUGGUGACUCUGGAUAACUUUGUGCUGAUCGCAUGGCCACGAGCCGGCGACGUUUCUUUCAAGUGUCUGCCUUAUCAACUUUCGAUGGUAGGUUACUUGCUUACCAUGGUUGUUACGGGUAACGGAGAAUCAGGGUUCGAUUCCGGAGAGGGAGCCUGAGAAACGGCUACCACAUCCAAGGAAGGCAGCAGGCGCGCAAAUUACCCACUCCCGGCACGGGGAGGUAGUGACGAAAAAUAACAAUACGGGACUCUUUUGAGGCCCCGUAAUUGAAAUGAGUACACUCUAAAUCCUUUAACGAGGAUCAAUUGGAGGGCAAGUCUGGUGCCAGCAGCCGCGGUAAUUCCAGCUCCAAUAGCGUAUACUAAAGCUGCUGCGGUUAAAAAGCUCGUAGUUGGAUCUCAGUUCCAGACGAGUAGUGCAUCUACCCGAUGCGACGGCUCGGACUGAACAUCAUGCCGGUCCUUUCUUGGUGCACUUCAUUGUGUGCCUCGAGAAGGCCGGUGCUUUUACUUUGAAAAAAUUAGAGUGCUCAACGCAGGCGAGUCGCCUGAAUAAACUUGCAUGGAAUAAUAGAACAAGACCUCGUUUCUGUUCUGUUGGUUUUUGGAAUACGAGGUAAUGAUUAAGAGGGACAGACGGGGGCAUUCGUAUUGCGGCGCUAGAGGUGAAAUUCUUGGACCGUCGCAAGACGAACUACUGCGAAAGCAUUUGCCAAGAAUGUUUUCUUUGAUCAAGAACGAAAGUCAGAGGUUCGAAGGCGAUCAGAUACCGCCCUAGUUCUGACCAUAAACGAUGCCAACCAGCGAUCCGCCUGAGUUACUCAAAUGACUCGGCGGGCAGCUUCCGGGAAACCAAAGUAUUUGGGUUCCGGGGGAAGUAUGGUUGCAAAGCUGAAACUUAAAGGAAUUGACGGAAGGGCACCACCAGGAGUGGAGCCUGCGGCUUAAUUUGACUCAACACGGGAAAACUUACCCGGCCCGGACACUGGGAGGAUUGACAGAUUGAGAGCUCUUUCUUGAUUCGGUGGAUGGUGGUGCAUGGCCGUUCUUAGUUGGUGGAGCGAUUUGUCUGGUUAAUUCCGAUAACGAACGAGACUCUAGCCUAUUAAAUAGGUGCGGGGUUCCCAGCACCUUACAACCUUCUUAGAGGGACAAGCGGCUCCUAGCCGCACGAAACAGAGCAAUAACAGGUCUGUGAUGCCCUUAGAUGUCCGGGGCCGCACGCGCGCUACACUGAAGGAAGCAGCGUGUCUUUAUCCCUGUCUGAAAAGACUGGGUAACCCGUGGAACUUCUUUCGUGAUUGGGAUAGGGGCUUGCAAUUGUUCCCCUUGAACGAGGAAUUCCCAGUAAGCGCGAGUCAUAAGCUCGCGUUGAUUACGUCCCUGCCCUUUGUACACACCGCCCCCAGACUUCUC
Long non-coding RNA from Dermacentor silvarum, 3641 nucleotides. RefSeq lists it as uncharacterized. The record is from RefSeq and is a predicted model, not a curated record. The transcript is spliced from 3 exons. NCBI's taxonomy places the organism in Eukaryota, Metazoa, Arthropoda, Arachnida, Ixodida, Ixodidae.